CGUGUGUUCGUCACUCAGCUCUCGGUACUUCGGCGGACUCGGGUGGAGCUCAGACAGUAAACAUGUCCGUAUACAACAGGGAGAUUCUGAUCGCCACCCGAAUCCUGUGCAGCAGCGGUGGAGCCAUGCAGCUGCAGCAGCUGCAGUGGGAGCUGCUGCAGCGCUGCUCCGCCAGCCAUGAAGACAUCCUCUACGUCAUCAGGCGGUGCCCCCGCUUCCUGCUGGUCCCUGGUCCCGAGGGGGACGACACCGUGGUGGCCAAGACGUCGUUGCGCCUGUGCAGGAACUACGGGCUGGGGAAGCGGUGCGGCGGCUGUGAACAGCUGCAUCUGUGCAGGUUCUUCAUCUAUGGAAACUGCAGGUUCGGCAAGGGCAGGAAACCGUGUAAGUUCUCACACAACAUCCAGUCGGAGCAGAACUCCAGGUUACUGAGAGAAUGUACUUUGCACGAGCUCAGCGAGGACGACCUCUUCCUGCUGCUGCUGCAGAACGACCCAUCGCUGCUGCCAAAGGUGUGUGCUCACUACAACAAAGGCUCGCCUCCCCACGGCUGCUGCACCUUCCAGGACUCCUGCACCAAAGUCCACCUGUGCCAGCACCUGAUUCAGGGCGACUGCGUGUUCGGGUCCAAGUGUAAGCGACAGCACGCCAUAGAUGAGCCGCGCCGGCUCCAACUGGAGGAGAAAGGCCUGAGCAGAGACGUCAUCCGGAAGCUGCCCUCCAUCUACAGGAACAUCCACCACAUUGAUGCUGCGUCUGAUGACUCCACCCCCACAGAGGUUCAGCCGUGUGCAGCCACUACAGACAACAACAUCUGUCUGCACUUCAUCAGAAACAACUGCAGGUUCCACAACGAGUGUCGUCAGGUUCACUUCCACCUGCCCUACAAGUGGGAGGUGUUUGACGCAGGCACCUGGACUGACCUACAGCACAUGGAGGACAUGGAACGAGACUUCUGUGACCCAUCUAAGACUCAGAGUUGUGGAGCUCGGCCCGUUGACUUUCUGACCAUGACUCGGGGGUCGCAGGGCGUUCGCCGCCUUUCCACGGUUUCCUCAGUAACAAAACCACCGCACUACCUGCUGACAACAGAGUGGAGGUGGUUUUAUAAAGGGGACCAGGAGAACUGGGUGGAGUAUGGAGACAUGGACGAGAAGCAGCGAACCACGUCACAGACAUCCAGGACUUUGGAGGAAAGGUACCUGUCUGACAGGACAGCUGAAGUCAAGGUCCUGAAAGGACACAGAGAGUACGUCAUCAGCUUCAAAGACAUGUACCAGAGGAACCUCAAACACAAGACCAAAAGAAAAGUCCGUCGCCGUCCUCGCUUUGUCUCCGUGGCCGAGGUCAAACUGGUCUCAGUAGAAAAGCCAGAAACACAUGUGGUCCUGGUGAACUAGGACCAGUGAUGCUGUCUGCACCUUUCUGAAGAGUCUGUUACAGUUGAUCUUGGCAUCAUUUGGAUCGGAACCUUAUGCUCUGAAGUUACAAAAAAGAAUUUAGUAUCUUUACAUAACCGAAAGUUUGGAAAGACUCAAAUCUGCCGUGGACGAAUAAUCUUCUAAGUGCUUGAAGGUUCUCUCGUCUUAAUCUGGAUCAAUAAAGCGUCUGUCGAUCUCCAA
Betta splendens (Siamese fighting fish) is the source of this 1622-nucleotide RNA transcript. It is a transcript of the gene named poly (ADP-ribose) polymerase family, member 12b, with no coding region annotated. NCBI's taxonomy places the organism in Eukaryota, Metazoa, Chordata, Actinopteri, Anabantiformes, Osphronemidae. The transcript has 9 exons. The record is from RefSeq and is a predicted model, not a curated record.